Molecule: long non-coding RNA, 526 nt
Organism: Anas platyrhynchos (mallard)
Lineage: Eukaryota; Metazoa; Chordata; Aves; Anseriformes; Anatidae
Source: RefSeq, a predicted model, not a curated record
UCGGAAAGAAAAAGGUAAACCUCGUGUCUAGCUCAAUUAAUAAACAUGGUAAUUUCACACCCAAAAGGAGGACAUUAUUUCAUGUGAGUGCUAUCGGCUCCAUCACAAAGGGUCACAGCGCAGCUGUGGCGAGCCCGGGGUUAUUAUGCAGCCUGAUGAUAGGAUCCCGCUUGCCAUCCCGGCUCCUUCCUCGGGGCUACCAAUAGCCCCCGGCAGGGCUCGUGCCACCCCAUGAUAAAGGACUUACCCAAUGCGGGAGGAAAUGGAGCAGCUUUCAGAUGAGAGACCCAAACAAGCCCCCGAAGUUGUUUGCAAGCCCCCGAGCGCAAAGCGGAGCUGGGAGAGUCCCCUGCUCGGCCAGCGCCCCCCCAGCCCCGGCGCAUGGGAUUUCUGGUGUCAGGAACCGGGUCCAGGAGCCGUGAGGCGACACAUUAACUGCGAUCCCAUAAUCUCUUAAUCACAUUACGUUUUAAGUGAGCAUGUGUAAUUUCACCCAUCAAUGAUUUAUUUAAGCAUCGGAGCACAA